RNAcentral lists this ribosomal RNA (452 nucleotides) under Nipponnemertes ogumai. RNAcentral's name for it is "partial 16S ribosomal RNA". It matches the Rfam family "Bacterial large subunit ribosomal RNA", at positions 1811 to 2561 of the family's 2925-position model. The record is from RNAcentral. Lineage: Eukaryota; Metazoa; Nemertea; Enopla; Monostilifera; Cratenemertidae.
AAACAUAGUCUUUUGGGUUAGUUUAUAAAAAGAUAAUUUCUGCUCAAUGAUUAAUAAAUAGCCGCAGUAAUUUGGCUGUGCGAAGGUAGCAUAAUCAUUUGCUUUUUAAUUAAGGGCUUGUAUGAAUGAAAAUAUGAGAAUUCUGCUGUCUUGGUUUAAAAGAUAUAAAUUGGUUUUUUUGUGAAGAAACAGAAAUAAAGUAAGGGGACAAGAAGACCCUUUUGAUCUUUAUUCUUUUUUUGUAAUUUUUAAUUUUUUUAUGAUUUAGAAUUUGGUUGGGGCGAUCAAAGAAGAUGAAAUCUUCUUUUUAGUUAGAAUAUUUUUGAUCCAAUAUUUUUGAUUAAAAGAAUAAGUUAGCAAAGGGAUAACAGCGUAAUUUUUUUUGUGAGUUCUUAUUAAAAAAAAAGAUUGCGACCUCGAUGUUGACUUAUUUUUACUUUUUGGUGCAGUAG